GUAGGGGACGAGCGUUGUCCGGAUUCAUUGGGCGUAAAGCGCGCGUAGGCGGCUCGGAAAGUCGGGCGUGAAAUGCCGGGGCUCAACCCCGGGACUGCGUCCGAUACUUCCGAGCUGGAGGUAGGUAGGGGAGAUCGGAAUUCCUGGUGUAGCGGUGAAAUGCGCAGAUAUCAGGAGGAACACCGGUGGCGAAGGCGGAUCUCUGGGCCUUACCUGACGCUGAGGCGCGAAAGCUAGGGGAGCGAACAGGAUUAGAUACCCUGGUAGUCCUAGCCGUAAACGUUGGGUGCUAGGUGUGGGCGGACAUCGACCCCGUCCGUGCCGAAGCUAACGCAUUAAGCACCCCGCCUGGGGAGUACGGCCGCAAGGCUAAA
Molecule: ribosomal RNA, 374 nt
Filed under: uncultured bacterium
Lineage: Bacteria
Description: bacterial SSU rRNA
Rfam family: Bacterial small subunit ribosomal RNA
Source: RNAcentral